RNAcentral lists this transfer-messenger RNA (363 nucleotides) under Alphaproteobacteria bacterium. It matches the Rfam family "Alphaproteobacteria transfer-messenger RNA". From Rfam's summary of the family: Bacterial tmRNA, also known as 10Sa RNA or SsrA, is named for its dual tRNA and mRNA-like properties. Its role is to liberate the mRNA from a stalled ribosome. The record is from RNAcentral. Lineage: Bacteria; Pseudomonadati; Pseudomonadota; Alphaproteobacteria.
UGACUUGGAUUAUUUAUUAUUAACGAUUAUAUUAGGCGUGUCGGGAAACCGACUAUGGCGAUAAACGCCUUGUGGAAUAGACGGAGCGGACCCGGGGGCGGUACCCGGCGCCUCCACCAAAAAGCCGAAGCCGGACUUAUAAUGAACGGCUUUUUGGCGGGGGCGAAAUAGGAUCGACGCACGCAGUAAAGACAUGGUUUUUGCCCGGCAUGAUUCCGCCGUUAUCGGGUCAUUCCUACAAGUGCCAACGACAAUGUUGACACUCGUGAAGUUGCGAUGGCUGCCUAAUCUUCGCUUUGCGGAGAUGAACAGCUUGUAGCUACACGCGGCUCGGGGGGUGCCGGGCAACAGAAACCCCCCACU